RNAcentral lists this ribosomal RNA (1417 nucleotides) under Paenibacillus glucanolyticus. RNAcentral describes it as "bacterial SSU rRNA". It matches the Rfam family "Bacterial small subunit ribosomal RNA". The record is from RNAcentral. Lineage: Bacteria; Bacillati; Bacillota; Bacilli; Caryophanales; Paenibacillaceae.
UGCAGUCGAGCGGACUUGUCGGAGUGCUUGCACUCCUGAAAGUUACCGGCGGACGGGUGAAUAACACGUAGGCAGCCUGCCCUCACGACUGGGAUAAGUACCGGAAACGCUAACUAAUACCGGAAAAUUUAUUACAUAUGCAUUAUGUAAUAAUGAAAGACGGAGCAUUCUGUCACUUGGGGAUGGGCCUGCUUGGCAUUAGCUAGUUGGUGGGGUAACGGCCCACCAAGGCGACCAUGCGUAACCGACCUGAGAGGGUGAACGGCCACACUGGGACUGAAAACGGCCCAGACUCCUACGGGAGGCACAUUAGGGAAUCUUCCGCAAUGGGCGAAAGCCUGACCGAGCGCGCCGCGUGAGUGAUGAAGGUUUUCGGACUUUCAGCUCUGUUGCCAAGGAAGAACGUCUCAUGAGUAACUGCUAUGAGAGUGACGGUACUUGAGAACAAAGCCCCGGCUAACUACGUGCCGCAUCCGCGGUAAUACGUAGGGGGCAAGCGUUGUCCGGAAUUAUUGGGCGUAAAAGCUCGCGCAGGCGGUUUCUUUAUGUCUGGUGUUUAAACCUGGGGCUCAACUUCAGGUCGCACUGGAAACUGGGGAACUUGAGUGCAGAAGAGGAGAGUGGAAUUCCACGUGUAGCGGUGAAAUGCGUAGAUAUGUGGAGGAACACCAGUGGCGAAGGCGACUCUCUGGGCUGUAACUGACGCUGAGGCGCGAAAGCGUGGGGAGCRAACAGGAUUAGAUACCCUGGUAGUCCACGCCGUAAACGAUGACUGUUAGGUGUUAGGGGUUUCGAUACCCUUGGUGCGGAAGUUAACACAUUAAGCAUUCCGCCUGGGGAGUACGGUCGCAAGACUGAAACUCAAAGGAAUUGACGGGGACCCGCACAAGCAGUGGAUAUGUGGUUUAAUUCGAAGCAACGCGAAGAACCUUACCAAGUCUUGACAUCCCUCUGAAUGUCCUAGAGAUAGCUGCGGCCUUCGGGACAGAGGAGACAGGUGGUGCAUGGUUUUCUUCAGUUCGUUUCGUGAGAUGUUGGGUUAAUUCCCGCAACGAGCGCAACCUUUGAUUUUAGUUGCCAGCAGGUAAGGCUGGGCAUUAUAGAAGGACUGCCGGUGACAAUCCGGAGGAAGGCGGGGAGGACGUCAAAUCUUCAUGCCCCUUAUGACUUGGGUUACACCCGUAUUCCAAUGGCUGGUACAACGGGAAGGGAAGCCGGGAGGUGGAGCCAAUCCAAUAAAAGCCAGUCUCAUUUGGGAUUGCUGGGUGCAACUCGCUUGCAAGAAGUGGGAAUUUAUUGUAAUCGGGGAUCAGCAUGCCGCGGGGAAUACGUUCCCGGCUUUUGUCCACACCGCCCGUCACACCAGGAGAGUUUACACCACCGGAAGUCGGUGGGUAACCCGCAAGGAGCCAGCCGC